This 24-nucleotide non-coding RNA is filed under the name Gossypium hirsutum (cotton). The record is from RNAcentral. Lineage: Eukaryota; Viridiplantae; Streptophyta; Magnoliopsida; Malvales; Malvaceae.
GUUUGAAUACUCUUAACGAAGUUC